AACGUAGGAGACUAGCGUUAUCCGGAUUUACUGGGCGUAAAGAGCGCGCAGGCGGUCGUACAAGUCGCGUGUGAAAGCCCCCGGCUCAACUGGGGAGGGUCACGCGAUACUGUUCGACUCGAGGGCAGGAGAGGGAAGUGGAAUUCCCGGUGUAGUGGUGAAAUGCGUAGAUAUCGGGAGGAACACCAGUGGCGAAGGCGACUUCCUGGACCGGCAUUGACGCUGAGGAGCGAAAGCCAGGGGAGCAAACGGG
RNAcentral lists this ribosomal RNA (253 nucleotides) under uncultured bacterium. RNAcentral describes it as "partial 16S ribosomal RNA". It matches the Rfam family "Bacterial small subunit ribosomal RNA", at positions 524 to 776 of the family's 1533-position model. The record is from RNAcentral.